CCAGACUCCUACGGGAGGCAGCAGUGGGGAAUAUUGGACAAUGGGGGAAACCCUGAUGCAGCGACGCCGCGUGAGUGAAGAAGUAAUUCGUUACGUAAAGCUCUAUCAGCAGGGAAGAAACACUGACCUUACGGUCAGCAGACGGUACCUGAGUAAGAAGCCCCGGCUAACUACGUGCCAGCAGCCGCGGUAAUACGUAGGGGGCAAGCGUUAUCCGGAUUUACUGGGUGUAAAGGGAGCGUAGGCGGCAGGGCAAGCCUGAUGUGAAAGCCCGGGGCUCAACCCCGGGACUGCAUUGGGAACUGCCCCGCUCGAGUGCCGGAGGGGCAGGCGGAAUUCCUAGUGUAGCGGUGAAAUGCGUAGAUAUUAGGAGGAACACCAGUGGCGAAGGCGGCCUGCUGGACGGUGUACUGACGCUGAGGCUCGAAAGCGUGGGGAGCAAACAGGAUUAGAUACCCGGGUAC
RNAcentral lists this ribosomal RNA (464 nucleotides) under uncultured bacterium. Its description in RNAcentral is "bacterial SSU rRNA". It matches the Rfam family "Bacterial small subunit ribosomal RNA", at positions 331 to 793 of the family's 1533-position model. The record is from RNAcentral.